Molecule: non-coding RNA, 193 nt
Filed under: Desulfitobacterium dichloroeliminans
Lineage: Bacteria; Bacillati; Bacillota; Clostridia; Eubacteriales; Desulfitobacteriaceae
Description: T-box sequence
Rfam family: T-box leader
About the family: Uncharged tRNA acts as the effector for transcription antitermination of genes in the T-box leader family. T-boxes are found upstream of many aminoacyl-tRNA synthetase genes and some amino acid biosynthetic genes usually in Gram-positive bacteria.
Source: RNAcentral
AUAUCGCCGAGGAACGAUCUAGUAAGUAACUCGUUCUAUAAGAGAGGGAAGGGUUGGUGCAACUUCCUGAAGAUGAGUGACUGAACCCAAUCGUGAGGCUUUGAUGAUGAAUCAAACGGUUCCUGCCGUUAUCGGGCUUAAGUGGCGUAUUGCAAUUAAGGUGGUACCGCGGAAGGCUUCUUUCGUCCUUGUU